This 207-nucleotide ribosomal RNA is filed under the name uncultured bacterium. RNAcentral's name for it is "partial 16S ribosomal RNA". It matches the Rfam family "Bacterial small subunit ribosomal RNA", at positions 568 to 774 of the family's 1533-position model. The record is from RNAcentral.
CGCGUAGGCGGCCUGCUAAGUCGAACGUGAAAUCCCUGGGCUCAACCCAGGAACUGCGUCCGAUACUGGUUGGCUUGAAUCCGGGAGAGGGAUGUGGAAUUCCAGGUGUAGCGGUGAAAUGCGUAGAUAUCUGGAGGAACACCGGUGGCGAAGGCGACAUCCUGGACCGGCAUUGACGCUGAGGCGCGAAAGCCAGGGGAGCAAACG